This 433-nucleotide ribosomal RNA is filed under the name uncultured bacterium. RNAcentral describes it as "partial 16S ribosomal RNA". It matches the Rfam family "Bacterial small subunit ribosomal RNA", at positions 29 to 507 of the family's 1533-position model. The record is from RNAcentral.
AACGAACGCUGGCGGCAUGCCUAACACAUGCAAGUCGAACGAGACCUUCGGGUCUAGUGGCGCAAGGGUGCGUAACGCGUGGGAACCUGCCCUUAGGUUCGGAAUAACUCCCCGAAAGGGGUGCUAAUACCGGAUAAUGUCUUCGGACCAAAGAUUUAUCGCCUUUGGAUGGGCCCGCGUUGGAUUAGCUAGUUGGUAGGGUAAAAGCCUACCAAGGCGACGAUCCAUAGCUGGUCUGAGAGGAUGAUCAGCCACACUGGGACUGAGACACGGCCCAGACUCCUACGGGAGGGAGCAGUGGGGAAUAUUGGACAAUGGGCGAAAGCCUGAUCCAGCAAUGCCGCGUGAGUGAUGAAGGCCUUAGGGUUGUAAAGCUCUUUUACCCGGGAUGAUAAUGACGGUACCGGGAGAAUAAGCACCGGCUAACUCCGUG